Molecule: non-coding RNA, 181 nt
Filed under: Pseudomonadota bacterium
Lineage: Bacteria; Pseudomonadati; Pseudomonadota
Description: 6S RNA
Rfam family: 6S / SsrS RNA
About the family: E. coli 6S RNA was the first non coding RNA to be sequenced, but its function was unknown until recently. It consists of 184 nucleotides that fold into an extended hairpin structure with a large single-stranded internal bulge. The 6S RNA specifically associates with RNA polymerase holoenzyme containing the sigma70 specificity factor.
Source: RNAcentral
UGUCCCCUGCGAUGUGCGUGUAAGGCUGAUAUUUUCUUGAACCAACACCACACGCCAGGUUGCUGAUCUGAGGUGGCCAAUGCGCGCGUCCCUCGUCGGAUGUACCUACGGCCACCCGUAGGCGACCACCUUGAACCGAGAGGUUCAAGAUUCACGGUCUCACGGCAUCGGCGGGGGGCUC